Molecule: long non-coding RNA, 186 nt
Organism: Suncus etruscus (white-toothed pygmy shrew)
Lineage: Eukaryota; Metazoa; Chordata; Mammalia; Eulipotyphla; Soricidae
Exons: 2
Source: RefSeq, a predicted model, not a curated record
CCCCGGUGUCCCAUAUGGUCCCCCAAGCCAGGAGCGACUUCUGAGCUCAUAGCCAGGAGUAACCCCUUGAGCAGGCUGGGUGUGGCCCAAAAACCAAAAAAAAAAAAAAAAAAAAAAAAAAAAAAAAAAAAAAAAAAAAAAAAAAAAAAAAAAAAAAAAAAAAAAAAAAAAAAGAAAGAAAGAAAA